CCUACGGGGUGCAGCAGUGGGGAAUAUUGCACAAUGGGCGCAAGCCUGAUGCAGCCAUGCCGCGUGUAUGAAGAAGGCCCUAGGGUUGUAAGGUACUUUCAGUCGGGAGGAAGGCGUUGAUGCUAAUAUCAUCAACGAUUGACGUUACCGACAGAAGAAGCACCGGCUAACUCCGUGCCAGCAGCCGCGGUAAUACGGAGGGUGCAAGCGUUAAUCGGAAUUACUGGGCGUAAAGCGCACGCAGGCGGUUGAUUAAGUUAGAUGUGAAAUCCCCGGGCUUAACCUGGGAAUGGCAUCUAAGACUGGUCAGCUAGAGUCUUGUAGAGGGGGGUAGAAUUCCAUGUGUAGCGGUGAAAUGCGUAGAGAUGUGGAGGAAUACCGGUGGCGAAGGCGGCUCUCUGGUCUGUAACUGACGCUGAGGCGCGAAAGCGUGGGGAGCAAACAGGAUUAGAUACCCGUGUAGUC
This 465-nucleotide ribosomal RNA is filed under the name uncultured bacterium. RNAcentral describes it as "bacterial SSU rRNA". It matches the Rfam family "Bacterial small subunit ribosomal RNA", at positions 338 to 795 of the family's 1533-position model. The record is from RNAcentral.